RNAcentral lists this ribosomal RNA (587 nucleotides) under Aspergillus flavus. Its description in RNAcentral is "eukaryotic LSU rRNA". The stretch from base 215 to 368 matches the Rfam family "5.8S ribosomal RNA". Lineage: Eukaryota; Fungi; Ascomycota; Eurotiomycetes; Eurotiales; Aspergillaceae. The record is from RNAcentral.
CUUCCGUAGGUGAACCUGCGGAAGGAUCAUUACCGAGUGUAGGGUUCCUAGCGAGCCCAACCUCCCACCCGUGUUUACUGUACCUUAGUUGCUUCGGCGGGCCCGCCAUUCAUGGCCGCCGGGGGCUCUCAGCCCCGGGCCCGCGCCCGCCGGAGACACCACGAACUCUGUCUGAUCUAGUGAAGUCUGAGUUGAUUGUAUCGCAAUCAGUUAAAACUUUCAACAAUGGAUCUCUUGGUUCCGGCAUCGAUGAAGAACGCAGCGAAAUGCGAUAACUAGUGUGAAUUGCAGAAUUCCGUGAAUCAUCGAGUCUUUGAACGCACAUUGCGCCCCCUGGUAUUCCGGGGGGCAUGCCUGUCCGAGCGUCAUUGCUGCCCAUCAAGCACGGCUUGUGUGUUGGGUCGUCGUCCCCUCUCCGGGGGGGACGGGCCCCAAAGGCAGCGGCGGCACCGCGUCCGAUCCUCGAGCGUAUGGGGCUUUGUCACCCGCUCUGUAGGCCCGGCCGGCGCUUGCCGAACGCAAAUCAAUCUUUUUCCAGGUUGACCUCGGAUCAGGUAGGGAUACCCGCUGAACUUAAGCAUAUCAAU